AAGAGCCCAGUGCGGGAAAACCGCUCGCUGGGAUCUGUGGAGGGGGCUAUGGGCAACCAUGGUUCCUACUCCGACUCCAAC
Non-coding RNA from Deltaproteobacteria bacterium, 81 nucleotides. The record is from Rfam. Lineage: Bacteria; Pseudomonadati; Myxococcota; Myxococcia.